GGAGCACACUCUACAAAGGCCUGACUGGAGAUUUGCCUGAUCUAUCAGUCCUUCAGGUGACUGCGGCUCACUUCAAGAGCAGGUGAAGCAAGUUGGGACAAUGUUGAAGACGUUUGUGAUGUUGCGCGUAGCAUGGACAACAAAAUGGACACUAUGAUGCAACAUUUCAGUGCCAAUGUGUCUGUUGGAGAGUUAUCCCUGCCAGGGGAUCUGUUACUCCCCCUAGACACCCAGGAAGAUUUGGCGUUGCUUGACAACAGUUUGAGGCAGGAUAAAGAGCUCCAGCAAUGAUUUCUUCGGUUUUUGGCAAUCAAAUGUGGGAGGGACCUAAAGACAACCGUGUAGCGAAUGCUCCAGAGUAUCUUCUCUAAUCACCUUUCCAUCAAUACAACCUGGACUGGUGUAGGGGAUAAAGCAUGUUUUAGAGACAUGUUCCUGAAGACCAUUGUUCAAAUCAGUAACAUCAAGACCCCUAAAAAAGCCUGCUAAAAGUGUCAGACUACACUCACCCAAUCCACACUGUUCACUGUGGAAAUUGC
Molecule: long non-coding RNA, 539 nt
Organism: Xyrauchen texanus (razorback sucker)
Lineage: Eukaryota; Metazoa; Chordata; Actinopteri; Cypriniformes; Catostomidae
Exons: 4
Source: RefSeq, a predicted model, not a curated record